UCUAAUGAGACUGCCGGUGACAAGCCGGAGGAAGGUGGGGAUGACGUCAAGUCCUCAUGGCCCUUAUGACCAGGGCUUCACACGUCAUACAAUGGUCGGUACAGAGGGUAGCCAAGCCGCGAGGCGGAGCCAAUCUCACAAAACCGAUCGUAGUCCGGAUUGCACUCUGCAACUCGAGUGCAUGAAGUCGGAAUCGCUAGUAAUCGCAGGUCAGCAUACUGCGGUGAAUACGUUCCCGGGUCUUGUACACACCGCCCGUCACACCAUGGGAGUGGGGGAUACCAGAAGUAGGUAGGGUAACCGCAAGGAGCCCGCUUACCACGGUAUGCUUCAUGACUGGGGUGAAGUCGUAACAAGGUAGCCGUAGGGGAACCUGCGGCUGGAUCACCUCCUUUCUAG
This 399-nucleotide ribosomal RNA is filed under the name Salmonella enterica. RNAcentral's name for it is "bacterial SSU rRNA". It matches the Rfam family "Bacterial small subunit ribosomal RNA", at positions 1139 to 1533 of the family's 1533-position model. The record is from RNAcentral. Lineage: Bacteria; Pseudomonadati; Pseudomonadota; Gammaproteobacteria; Enterobacterales; Enterobacteriaceae.